This 171-nucleotide microRNA precursor is filed under the name Paramuricea clavata. Lineage: Eukaryota; Metazoa; Cnidaria; Anthozoa; Malacalcyonacea; Plexauridae. The record is from RNAcentral.
UCCACAAACGCGUCUACGACCGCACCUACAUAUUUUUGCAUGUUUACAAUUCUAAUUUUAAAUAGCCAGUCCGGCUCUUGGUGACAAUUACAAUUAAACGUCGAUUGGCUGUUUAAAAUUAGAAUUGCAAACAUGCAAAAAUAUGUAGGUGCGGUCUUAGACGUUUGUGGG